AACAAAAAGAACCCUUUCAGUAACGGGAAGCGCGGUGAAAAUCCGCCACUGCCCCGCAACUGUGAUGGGGGACGAAAGCCAGAACAACGCCACUGUUCCGCUUUAGCGGGAUGGGAAGGCCUGGCGAGUAGGAUGAUCCCAGAGUCAGGAGACCGACUGAAAAGGGCGCGCUCAC
This 175-nucleotide non-coding RNA is filed under the name Caldithrix abyssi. RNAcentral also lists the same sequence under 1 other name. The record is from RNAcentral. Lineage: Bacteria; Pseudomonadati; Calditrichota; Calditrichia; Calditrichales; Calditrichaceae.